Molecule: ribosomal RNA, 465 nt
Filed under: uncultured bacterium
Lineage: Bacteria
Description: partial 16S ribosomal RNA
Rfam family: Bacterial small subunit ribosomal RNA
Source: RNAcentral
CUACGGGGGGCUCCAGUGAGGAAUUUUGCGCAAUGGGGGGAACCCUGACGCAGCAACGCCGCGUGAGUGAUGAAGGCUUUCGGGUCGUAAAGCUCUGUCAAGUGGGAAGAACCUAUGCAGUGUUAAUAUCACUGUAUACUGACGGUACCACUGAAGGAAGCACCGGCUACCUCCGUGCCAGCAGCCGCGGUAAUACGGGGGGUGCAAGCGUUAUUCGGAAUCAUUGGGCGUAAAGGGCACGUAGGCGGCUUGGUAAGUCAGAUGUGAAAGCCCGGGGCUUAACCCCGGAAGUGCAUUUGAUACUGUCAGGCUUGAGUAUGGGAGAGGGAAGUGGAAUUCCUGGUGUAGAGGUGAAAUUCGUAGAUAUCAGGAGGAACACCGGUGGCGAAGGCGACUUCCUGGACCAAUACUGACGCUGAGGUGCGAAGGCGUGGGUAGCAAACAGGAUUAGAUACCCGCGUAGUC